Molecule: ribosomal RNA, 496 nt
Filed under: uncultured bacterium
Lineage: Bacteria
Description: partial 16S ribosomal RNA
Rfam family: Bacterial small subunit ribosomal RNA
Source: RNAcentral
GAUGAACGCUGGCGGCGUGCCUAAUACAUGCAAGUCGAGCGAACAGACGAGGAGCUUGCUCCUCUGACGUUAGCGGCGGACGGGUGAGUAACACGUGGAUAACCUACCUAUAAGACUGGGAUAACUUCGGGAAACCGGAGCUAAUACCGGAUAAUAUAUUGAACCGCAUGGUUCAAUAGUGAAAGACGGUUUUGCGGUCACUUAUAGAUGGAUCCGCGCCGCAUUAGCGAGUUGGUAAGGUAACGGCUUACCAAGGCAACGAUGCGUAGCCGACCUGAGAGGGGGGUGGGCACCAGAGAAGCUGACCCACGACACUGGGACCUAGGGGGGGCCCCGACGGGGACUUGUGCCAAAAGGGGGAAAGACUGCACGAUGAACGGCGGGCGGGUGCAGCAACUCCGCGUACGGUAAAACUGCUUUCGUGGGGAAAAACAAAUUGGCAAGUAACUAAGCGUGUUUGACGGGAACCUAAAAAGAAGCACCGGCUAACUACGGG